RNAcentral lists this transfer RNA (83 nucleotides) under Ithaginis cruentus. RNAcentral describes it as "tRNA-Trp". It matches the Rfam family "tRNA". Rfam says of the family: Transfer RNA (tRNA) molecules are approximately 80 nucleotides in length. Their secondary structure includes four short double-helical elements and three loops (D, anti-codon, and T loops). Further hydrogen bonds mediate the characteristic L-shaped molecular structure. tRNAs have two regions of fundamental functional importance: the anti-codon, which is responsible for specific mRNA codon recognition, and the 3' end, to which the tRNAs corresponding amino acid is attached (by aminoacyl-tRNA synthetases). tRNAs cope with the degeneracy of the genetic code in two manners: having more than one tRNA (with a specific anti-codon) for a particular amino acid; and 'wobble' base-pairing, i.e. permitting non-standard base-pairing at the 3rd anti-codon position. Lineage: Eukaryota; Metazoa; Chordata; Aves; Galliformes; Phasianidae. The record is from RNAcentral.
AGAAACUUAGGAUUAACCGUCACCCAAACCAAAGGCCUUCAAAGCCUUAAAUAAGAGUUAAACUCUCUUAGUUUCUGCCCCAC